This 384-nucleotide ribosomal RNA is filed under the name Arthrobacter sp. CCH_CBGLBI38C. RNAcentral describes it as "bacterial SSU rRNA". It matches the Rfam family "Bacterial small subunit ribosomal RNA", at positions 534 to 916 of the family's 1533-position model. Lineage: Bacteria; Bacillati; Actinomycetota; Actinomycetes; Micrococcales; Micrococcaceae. The record is from RNAcentral.
GCAAGCGUUAUCCGGAAUUAUUGGGCGUAAGAGCUCGUAGGCGGUUUGUCGCGUCUGCCGUGAAAGUCCGGGGCUCAACUCCGGAUCUGCGGUGGGUACGGGCAGACUAGAGUGAUGUAGGGGAGACUGGAAUUCCUGGUGUAGCGGUGAAAUGCGCAGAUAUCAGGAGGAACACCGAUGGCGAAGGCAGGUCUCUGGGCAUUAACUGACGCUGAGGAGCGAAAGCAUGGGGAGCGAACAGGAUUAGAUACCCUGGUAGUCCAUGCCGUAAACGUUGGGCACUAGGUGUGGGGGACAUUCCACGUUUUCCGCGCCGUAGCUAACGCAUUAAGUGCCCCGCCUGGGGAGUACGGCCGCAAGGCUAAAACUCAAAGGAAUUGACGG